AAUAGAUACCCAGGUAGUCCACGCCGUAAACCGAUGAGUGCUAAGUGUUAGGGGGUUUCCGCCCCUUAGUGCUGCAGCUAACGCAUUAAGCACUCCGCCUGGGGAGUACGGUCGCAAGACUGAAACUCAAAGGAAUUGACGGGGGCCCGCACAAGCGGUGGAGCAUGUGGUUUAAUUCGAAGCAACGCGAAGAACCUUACCAGGUCUUGACAUCCCAUUGACCACUAUGGAGACAUAGUUUUCCCUUCGGGGACAACGGUGACAGGUGGUGCAUGGUUGUCGUCAGCUCGUGUCGUGAGAUGUUGGGUUAAGUCCCGCAACGAGCGCAACCCUUGUUCUUAGUUGCCAUCAUUUAGUUGGGCACUCUAAGGAGACUGCCGGUGACAAACCGGAGGAAGGUGGGGAUGACGUACAAAUCAUCAUGCCCCUUAUGACCUGGGCUACACACGUGCUACAAUGGACGGUACAAACGGUUGCCAACCCGCGAGGGGGAGCUAAUCCGAUAAAACCAUUCUCAGUUCGGAUUGUAGGCUGCAACUCGCCUAC
RNAcentral lists this ribosomal RNA (546 nucleotides) under uncultured bacterium. RNAcentral's name for it is "bacterial SSU rRNA". It matches the Rfam family "Bacterial small subunit ribosomal RNA", at positions 777 to 1319 of the family's 1533-position model. The record is from RNAcentral.